CACGUGGGAAUCUGCCCAUUAGUGGGGGAUAACUCGGGGAAACUCGAGCUAAUACCGCAUAAUCCCUACGGGGGAAAGCAGGGGAUCUUCGGACCUUGCGCUGAUGGAUGAGCCCGCGUCGGAUUAGCUUGUUGGUGGGGUAAUGGCCCACCAAGGCGACGAUCCGUAACUGGUCUGAGAGGAUGGCCAGUCACACCGGGACUGAGACACGGCCCGGACUCCUACGGGAGGCAGCAGUGGGGAAUCUUGGACAAUGGGCGCAAGCCUGAUCCAGCCAUGCCGCGUGUGUGAAGAAGGCCUUCGGGUUGUAAAGCACUUUCAGUAGGGAGGAAGGCUUUGGGCUAAUACCCUGGAGUACUUGACGUUACCUACA
Molecule: ribosomal RNA, 373 nt
Filed under: Alloalcanivorax dieselolei
Lineage: Bacteria; Pseudomonadati; Pseudomonadota; Gammaproteobacteria; Oceanospirillales; Alcanivoracaceae
Description: bacterial SSU rRNA
Rfam family: Bacterial small subunit ribosomal RNA
Source: RNAcentral